This is a long non-coding RNA of Gavialis gangeticus (Gharial), 437 nucleotides long. RefSeq lists it as uncharacterized. The record is from RefSeq and is a predicted model, not a curated record. The transcript has 3 exons. Lineage: Eukaryota; Metazoa; Chordata; Crocodylia; Gavialidae.
CCACUUCAGAUAUUAACCUGGACAUCAUGCCUUCCAAACAUUAAAUGAGCUGAGCGAUGUUUUAUUACAUUUCUCAUGUGGCUAAGCUUAGUGCAGCUUUUAAGUGUUCCUUGGUAUGCCGUGCUUACGCAAGUUAUUUUCUGCUGUGGAUUGUUGAUGCUGCAGCAGCAGAUAGAAUGAUGUGCCUUGAAUUCCAAUGAGGAGAAGGGGGGGCUUUUUGAAUAAAGAGCAGUCUCAGGAGAAAGCUGCUCGGGAAUCCUUAGAAUGAAUCGCAGCCUCAGGGAUGCAACCCUUUGGAAUGCCUCUCUGUUAUCUGUUUACUCUGAACAGCCAGGAAUGGAAGGGGAGGAGUAACACAGCAGUGGUUGUCCUUGUGACUGCAAGUUCUAGCGAUGCUUUGUUUUGAAAGAUUAUUUGGAAAAGAGUGAGGAUGACAU